Molecule: ribosomal RNA, 1016 nt
Filed under: uncultured bacterium
Lineage: Bacteria
Description: bacterial SSU rRNA
Rfam family: Bacterial small subunit ribosomal RNA
Source: RNAcentral
AGGAAUAUUGGUCAAUGGGCGGAAGCCUGAACCAGCCAAGUAGCGUGAAGGAUGACUGCCCUAUGGGUUGUAAACUUCUUUUAUACGGGAAUAAAGUGAGGCACGUGUGCCUUUUUGUAUGUACCGUAUGAAUAAGGAUCGGCUAACUCCGUGCCAGCAGCCGCGGUAAUACGGAGGAUCCGAGCGUUAUCCGGAUUUAUUGGGUUUAAAGGGAGCGUAGGCGGACGCUUAAGUCAGUUGUGAAAGUUUGCGGCUCAACCGUAAAAUUGCAGUUGAUACUGGGUGUCUUGAGUACAGUAGAGGCAGGCGGAAUUCGUGGUGUAGCGGUGAAAUGCUUAGAUAUCACGAAGAACUCCGAUUGCGAAGGCAGCUUGCUGGACUGUAACUGACGCUGAUGCUCGAAAGUGUGGGUAUCAAACAGGAUUAGAUACCCUGGUAGUCCACACAGUAAACGAUGAAUACUCGCUGUUUGCGAUAUACAGUAAGCGGCCAAGCGAAAGCGUUAAGUAUUCCACCUGGGGAGUACGCCGGCAACGGUGAAACUCAAAGGAAUUGACGGGGGCCCGCACAAGCGGAGGAACAUGUGGUUUAAUUCGAUGAUACGCGAGGAACCUUACCCGGGCUUGAAUUGCAACUGAAUGAUGUGGAGACAUGUCAGCCGCAAGGCAGUUGUAAAGGUGCUGCAUGGUUGUCGUCAGCUCGUGCCGUGAGGUGUCGGCUUAAGUGCCAUAACGAGCGCAACCCCUAUCUACAGUUGCUAACAGGUGAUGCUGAGGACUCUGUGGAGACUGCCGGCGCAAGCUGUGAGGAAGGCGGGGAUGACGUCAAAUCAGCACGGCCCUUACGUCCGGGGCGACACACGUGUUACAAUGGCAGGUACAGCGGGAAGCCACUUGGCGACAAGGAGCGGAACCCGAAAACCUGUCUCAGUUCGGAUUGGAGUCUGCAACCCGACUCCAUGAAGCUGGAUUCGCUAGUAAUCGCGCAUCAGCCACGGCGCGGUGAAUACGUUCCCG